AUGGUUUUGUAACUUUUUGUACCCUGCGAAUAACCCCCUUAUCAGUUAAUUAUCUGAUAUGUCACCAUUGAGGGACUUAAUAUUAAACUACUUAUUGGAACAGGAAGAUGGGGUACAGAGCUUGCUCUACCCACUCUGCGCAUCAACUGGUAUUGCAUUGCACCUGGGACUGGUGCACCUUCU
Syngnathus acus (greater pipefish) is the source of this 183-nucleotide small nuclear RNA. RefSeq annotates it as U2 spliceosomal RNA. Lineage: Eukaryota; Metazoa; Chordata; Actinopteri; Syngnathiformes; Syngnathidae. The record is from RefSeq and is a predicted model, not a curated record. The transcript has a single exon.